UACGGAGGGGGCAAGCGUUGUUCGGAAUUACUGGGCGUAAAGGGCGCGUAGGCGGAACAUUAAGUUAGGGGUGAAAGGCCUGGGCUCAACCUGGGAACGGCCUCUAAGACUGAUGAUCUGGAGUUCGGAAGAGGAUGGCGGAAUUCCCAGUGUAGAGGUGAAAUUCGUAGAUAUUGGGAAGAACACCGGUGGCGAAGGCGGCCAUCUGGUCCGACACUGACGCUGAGGCGCGAAAGCGUGGGGAGCAAACAGG
Molecule: unclassified non-coding RNA, 253 nt
Filed under: uncultured Alphaproteobacteria bacterium
Lineage: Bacteria; Pseudomonadati; Pseudomonadota; Alphaproteobacteria
Description: contains 16S-23S intergenic spacer region
Rfam family: Bacterial small subunit ribosomal RNA
Source: RNAcentral